GGGAAAAGAAGUUGCGGGGACAGAGUCCAGCCCUGGGAUGAGAUGGAAAGUGAGCGAAAGCAGUGACAGCGUGAAUCCUGUUGAUGCCAGGCAAGACCUGCCCAGCUGGGAGGAGAGUAGCUGGCUCUGUCAGUGAGAGAAAAAUGUUAUGAAGUUGUGAAA
This is a non-coding RNA of Chelonoidis abingdonii (Abingdon island giant tortoise), 162 nucleotides long. The record is from RefSeq and is a predicted model, not a curated record. Lineage: Eukaryota; Metazoa; Chordata; Testudines; Testudinidae.